AUGGCUGUAAAUGUGCCCAUCCUUGUGGGUGGCAGCCUGGCGUGCUAUGAAAUGGACCUGAUGCUGGAGCGGCUGGGACCGAAUGCCAUAACACUGCCUCUGAGCCAGGAUUGCUGUCAGGGGGAGCAGAGGAACAAAGGUGUGGUAGGCCUGGGUGGCCUUGGCCAAGUGGCCUCCACUCGCCCAGACCUUGGGCACCAGCAGGCUCCUCCUCCCCAGCACGCAGGCCCUUAUCAGGAAAGCAAUUUGGGUUGGUGAGGAGGGGGAAGUCCGAGGCCCCAGGCUCCGGCAAGGUGGGUAGGAGAGAUAGGGAAGUGGGGAGGGGGCCGUGGGGCCCGGCUGGGAGGGCCCGCGGAUGGAAGAAAUGCCCAGAGCCAGUGCUGUCCUUGCUGGCCUGGCCUCUUGACAUGGUUCCAGAGCUGUUCCUGCCUUCCCUCCUUGCCGGGCAAGCCGCCCGCACCUUUAAUUAGCAAGCAGCAACCUUGCCCCGAUUCAGCACAGUCGCUGUUUAAUUAGCCGCGCACAAGGCGCCCCUACCCCCAGCUCUGGGUGGAGCAGCCUGCCUUUCUCACGGAGGCUGCCACCACUUCAUGGUGUCCCCUGUCACACGCCCCCCCCCCCCACUUAUUCUGCUCCCCAGAAGGGGGGAUGGGGCGGGCACGCCUGGCUGAAACCUCAAGGAGAUUCUGGGCACUGCCGCUUGUAUUCAAAGCAUCCAGCAAACAUUAUUAGGGCUUGGAGUCUGCGCCUGGCUGGCGCUGGGCGGAACCCAGGCUGCAUGGGGGCGGCGGCCUCGGUCCUGCCCACCGGCUCCAAAACGGCUUUUCCCUUUGGGAGGUGCCCAACACCUCUCCAGCUGGUCCCAGGGUGUUGGGAAAAGCCUAAUAAUCCUCCCUGUUGCUCCGUUCUCCCCGCCCCCAUCCAGACAGGGAUGACCAUUUCUUCCUUUCCGUCCCUGUCCCAGAGCGCAGCUAGCCCCCACCCCAGAAGGCGACCUCCUCGAGGAUGGAGAGGACCCUCCUCCACCCCUGCCUCCCCAGGGGUCAGAUCAUGGAGGCCCAGGCUAAGGCUAUGGGCAAAGGGAGGUGGUGGGGCAUCUCAGCGCCCCUCUGGGAAGUGGGGGUGCACAGCAGAGAGCCCACAGACUGGAGCCGAACCGGCUGCCCUCUGCUUCCCAGCAGCAGGGUGGGGCCGGUGGUGGCCCUGGGAGCGGUGCCUCACACCCUUCCGGGCAGAGCCGGGGAGUCACCGCCUCAGGGCAGCCAGCUGGAGGCAGGAGGCUCAGGUUCCAUCCCAGCCCUGCACCCCAGUCGGUCCUGUGGCUUCAGGUAAAUCAGCUGCCCUGGGGCCUCAGUGUCCUGCCCACAGAAGGGUGCUGGCCCCCUGGCUCUGGUGUGGACUAAGGACACGGAAGGACUGGCCUUUAUUCUGGUAUGGAGGGAAGCCCUGGAGUCCGUCCACUCUGGUACUAACCAUCUGUGUGGCCUCGGCCUGCCACCAAACUGUGCUGUGCCUCAGUUUCCCCAUAAUUAGUAGCUGCCUCUUGGGCUGUCCUGAGGAUUAAAUGAUUUACAAUGUUUAGCGCACUCAGAACAGUGCAUGACGGAGGGAGUCCUUAGUAAUCAUUGGCUGCUUUUGCCAAUAUUUCCCCUCCUUUUACCGAUCAAUAUUUAUUGCCAGGUAGGAGGGACUUGGUGAGUAAGUAUGGCAACCUCUCUGCUUCUCAGAGUUUUCCUUCCAGUGGGGGAGGCAGUUGAAAACAAGUAAAUAAAUAAAGGAAAGUACAAUUUUAUCUGAACAAAGUCUGCAGUUUAGUUAAUGGUGAUGUGCCAGGGUUAAUUUCUUAGUUUUGACACAUGUACCAUGGUCAGGUUAGGUGACGAUGUGACAUGAAGAAGACUGGAUGAAGUGUAUAUGGGAACCCUCUGUACUGUUUUUGCAAU
Molecule: non-coding RNA, 1943 nt
Organism: Leptonychotes weddellii (Weddell seal)
Lineage: Eukaryota; Metazoa; Chordata; Mammalia; Carnivora; Phocidae
Source: RefSeq, a predicted model, not a curated record